AAUAUUGGUCAAUGGGUGAGAGCCUGAACCAGCCAUGCCGCGUGCAGGAAGAAGGCCUUCUGGGUCGUAAACUGCUUUUGCCGGGGGAUAAAAAGCCAAUGCGUGGGAACUUGAAGGUACCCGGUGAACAAGCCCCGGCUAACUACGUGCCAGCAGCCGCGGUAAUACGUAGGGGGCCAGCGUUGUCCGGACUUACUGGGCGUAAAGCGCGCGCAGGCGGACCUGUAUGUGCCGUGUGAAAGCGCCGGACUUACUUCGGCGAGGUCAUGGUAGACAGCGGGUCUGGAGCCUCGGAGAGGUCGGUGGAAUUCCGGGUGGAGCGGUGAAAUGCGUAGAGAUCCGGAGGAACACCAGGGGCGAAGGCGGCCGACUGGCCGAGUGCUGACGCUGAGGCGCGACGGCGUGGGGAGCAAA
Molecule: ribosomal RNA, 414 nt
Filed under: uncultured bacterium
Lineage: Bacteria
Description: bacterial SSU rRNA
Rfam family: Bacterial small subunit ribosomal RNA
Source: RNAcentral